Molecule: ribosomal RNA, 403 nt
Filed under: uncultured bacterium
Lineage: Bacteria
Description: bacterial SSU rRNA
Rfam family: Bacterial small subunit ribosomal RNA
Source: RNAcentral
UGGGGAAUCUUGCACAAUGGGGGAAACCCUGAUGCAGCGACGCCGCGUGAGCGAUGAAGGCCUUCGGGUUGUAAAGCUCUUUCGGCAGGGACGAUAAUGACGGUACCUGCAGAAGCAGCUGCGGCUAACUACGUGCCAGCAGCCGCGGUAAUACGUAGGCAGCAAGCGUUGUUCGGAGUUACUGGGCGUAAAGGGUGCGUAGGCGGCUUUUUAAGUUUGGUGUGAAAUCUCCCGGCUCAACUGGGAGGGUGCGCCGAAUACUGAGAGGCUAGAGUAUGGGAGAGGAAAGUGGAAUUCCUGGUGUAGCGGUGAAAUGCGUAGAUAUCAGGAGGAACACCGGUGGUGUAAACGGCUUUCUGGACCAUUACUGACGCUGAGGCACGAAAGCGUGGGUAGCAAACAG